Molecule: ribosomal RNA, 2902 nt
Filed under: Escherichia coli
Lineage: Bacteria; Pseudomonadati; Pseudomonadota; Gammaproteobacteria; Enterobacterales; Enterobacteriaceae
Description: bacterial LSU rRNA
Rfam family: Bacterial large subunit ribosomal RNA
Source: RNAcentral
UUAAGCGACUAAGCGUACACGGUGGAUGCCCUGGCAGUCAGAGGCGAUGAAGGACGUGCUAAUCUGCGAUAAGCGUCGGUAAGGUGAUAUGAACCGUUAUAACCGGCGAUUUCCGAAUGGGGAAACCCAGUGUGAUUCGUCACACUAUCAUUAACUGAAUCCAUAGGUUAAUGAGGCGAACCGGGGGAACUGAAACAUCUAAGUACCCCGAGGAAAAGAAAUCAACCGAGAUUCCCCCAGUAGCGGCGAGCGAACGGGGAGCAGCCCAGAGCCUGAAUCAGUGUGUGUGUUAGUGGAAGCGUCUGGAAAGGCGCGCGAUACAGGGUGACAGCCCCGUACACAAAAAUGCACAUACUGUGAGCUCGAUGAGUAGGGCGGGACACGUGGUAUCCUGUCUGAAUAUGGGGGGACCAUCCUCCAAGGCUAAAUACUCCUGACUGACCGAUAGUGAACCAGUACCGUGAGGGAAAGGCGAAAAGAACCCCGGCGAGGGGAGUGAAAAAGAACCUGAAACCGUGUACGUACAAGCAGUGGGAGCACGCUUAGGCGUGUGACUGCGUACCUUUUGUAUAAUGGGUCAGCGACUUAUAUUCUGUAGCAAGGUUAACCGAAUAGGGGAGCCGAAGGGAAACCGAGUCUUAACUGGGCGUUAAGUUGCAGGGUAUAGACCCGAAACCCGGUGAUCUAGCCAUGGGCAGGUUGAAGGUUGGGUAACACUAACUGGAGGACCGAACCGACUAAUGUUGAAAAAUUAGCGGAUGACUUGUGGCUGGGGGUGAAAGGCCAAUCAAACCGGGAGAUAGCUGGUUCUCCCCGAAAGCUAUUUAGGUAGCGCCUCGUGAAUUCAUCUCCGGGGGUAGAGCACUGUUUCGGCAAGGGGGUCAUCCCGACUUACCAACCCGAUGCAAACUGCGAAUACCGGAGAAUGUUAUCACGGGAGACACACGGCGGGUGCUAACGUCCGUCGUGAAGAGGGAAACAACCCAGACCGCCAGCUAAGGUCCCAAAGUCAUGGUUAAGUGGGAAACGAUGUGGGAAGGCCCAGACAGCCAGGAUGUUGGCUUAGAAGCAGCCAUCAUUUAAAGAAAGCGUAAUAGCUCACUGGUCGAGUCGGCCUGCGCGGAAGAUGUAACGGGGCUAAACCAUGCACCGAAGCUGCGGCAGCGACGCUUAUGCGUUGUUGGGUAGGGGAGCGUUCUGUAAGCCUGCGAAGGUGUGCUGUGAGGCAUGCUGGAGGUAUCAGAAGUGCGAAUGCUGACAUAAGUAACGAUAAAGCGGGUGAAAAGCCCGCUCGCCGGAAGACCAAGGGUUCCUGUCCAACGUUAAUCGGGGCAGGGUGAGUCGACCCCUAAGGCGAGGCCGAAAGGCGUAGUCGAUGGGAAACAGGUUAAUAUUCCUGUACUUGGUGUUACUGCGAAGGGGGGACGGAGAAGGCUAUGUUGGCCGGGCGACGGUUGUCCCGGUUUAAGCGUGUAGGCUGGUUUUCCAGGCAAAUCCGGAAAAUCAAGGCUGAGGCGUGAUGACGAGGCACUACGGUGCUGAAGCAACAAAUGCCCUGCUUCCAGGAAAAGCCUCUAAGCAUCAGGUAACAUCAAAUCGUACCCCAAACCGACACAGGUGGUCAGGUAGAGAAUACCAAGGCGCUUGAGAGAACUCGGGUGAAGGAACUAGGCAAAAUGGUGCCGUAACUUCGGGAGAAGGCACGCUGAUAUGUAGGUGAAGUCCCUCGCGGAUGGAGCUGAAAUCAGUCGAAGAUACCAGCUGGCUGCAACUGUUUAUUAAAAACACAGCACUGUGCAAACACGAAAGUGGACGUAUACGGUGUGACGCCUGCCCGGUGCCGGAAGGUUAAUUGAUGGGGUCAGCGCAAGCGAAGCUCUUGAUCGAAGCCCCGGUAAACGGCGGCCGUAACUAUAACGGUCCUAAGGUAGCGAAAUUCCUUGUCGGGUAAGUUCCGACCUGCACGAAUGGCGUAAUGAUGGCCAGGCUGUCUCCACCCGAGACUCAGUGAAAUUGAACUCGCUGUGAAGAUGCAGUGUACCCGCGGCAAGACGGAAAGACCCCGUGAACCUUUACUAUAGCUUGACACUGAACAUUGAGCCUUGAUGUGUAGGAUAGGUGGGAGGCUUUGAAGUGUGGACGCCAGUCUGCAUGGAGCCGACCUUGAAAUACCACCCUUUAAUGUUUGAUGUUCUAACGUUGACCCGUAAUCCGGGUUGCGGACAGUGUCUGGUGGGUAGUUUGACUGGGGCGGUCUCCUCCUAAAGAGUAACGGAGGAGCACGAAGGUUGGCUAAUCCUGGUCGGACAUCAGGAGGUUAGUGCAAUGGCAUAAGCCAGCUUGACUGCGAGCGUGACGGCGCGAGCAGGUGCGAAAGCAGGUCAUAGUGAUCCGGUGGUUCUGAAUGGAAGGGCCAUCGCUCAACGGAUAAAAGGUACUCCGGGGAUAACAGGCUGAUACCGCCCAAGAGUUCAUAUCGACGGCGGUGUUUGGCACCUCGAUGUCGGCUCAUCACAUCCUGGGGCUGAAGUAGGUCCCAAGGGUAUGGCUGUUCGCCAUUUAAAGUGGUACGCGAGCUGGGUUUAGAACGUCGUGAGACAGUUCGGUCCCUAUCUGCCGUGGGCGCUGGAGAAUUGAGGGGGGCUGCUCCUAGUACGAGAGGACCGGAGUGGACGCAUCACUGGUGUUCGGGUUGUCAUGCCAAUGGCACUGCCCGGUAGCUAAAUGCGGAAGAGAUAAGUGCUGAAAGCAUCUAAGCACGAAACUUGCCCCGAGAUGAGUUCUCCCUGACUCCUUGAGAGUCCUGAAGGAACGUUGAAGACGACGACGUUGAUAGGCCGGGUGUGUAAGCGCAGCGAUGCGUUGAGCUAACCGGUACUAAUGAACCGUGAGGCUUAACCUU